RNAcentral lists this unclassified non-coding RNA (3048 nucleotides) under Octopus sinensis (East Asian common octopus). RNAcentral's name for it is "zinc finger protein 665-like, transcript variant X1". Lineage: Eukaryota; Metazoa; Mollusca; Cephalopoda; Octopoda; Octopodidae. The record is from RNAcentral.
AAAUUGAGAUCGGCGGAAUUUGAGCUCAGAACAUAAAAGACCAGAAGAAACACUGCAUGGCCUAAAUAAUUGCUAUUAAUUUUAGUACGAUGCUAUAAUUUCGUUUCGGUACUUAAAGCAAACCAAUGCAUGUUUUAUACAUUCCCCAUUACAGGUUAUCGACAAGGGAACCUGUUUUCAUGGAUGUUUGUGGGGACAGAUAUUCUCUUGUUUGAAAUUAUUGACUUUUCUUGGUGAAUUUCUACUUGUGUAUCAAAACUGAUGAAGAAAGGACUAUAUGGAAGAUAACGAGUGAGAGUAAAUCAUUAUCAGAUGACAUCUGCUUCACAGGAUUUUUACAUAAGCAACGUCAUUGGAAUGGAAAGUCUUUUGAAGACUGAGCAAAAAAGAUGUUAUACAAAACACGUAUAACCCUGUUUCUAUAAAUAUUUACUGAAUUACUGCAAAAUAUAUCUUCUGAACUCUGACAUAUAUGUAGCAAAAUUUCUCUUCUUUAUUGUCUGGAAUACACAGAAAAUUAUAUUUGCAUAUUAAUUAAUCGUUUAGCAUUAAACCUGGCCGUAUCAGUCCCAAACGUUCAAGCUAUUUUACGUUAAAACUGCCCACAUCUGGCCUCUUCCACUCACCCUGCAAUGUCAUUCUAAACAUAAGGAAUCACAUCAUUGAAAUCUUAAAGCAAUAAGAUAAUAAAUGAUUAAUUCAGAAGAAUUUGAAUAAAUAAUCAUUACAUUUGACAGAGUAAUCUGAAUGUUAAUGAGUUAAAGCAAUUAAGAAGUCAGUUUGCAGCAUCUUCAGAUAUUAACAAAGAUCACUUUUGAUGGAGAUAUACCAGUAGAAAUAUUUAUUAAGAGUAAUAUACGAGAAGAAGGAAAACAUUUGUGUACUGUGACGAGAGAAAGGAAAAUGAUGGAAAAUGAAUUAUAUCUGAGUGAAGUUAAAUGUAAAAGAGAGUCUGAAGAAAUUGACUUUUCUGAUGAGGAAAAGAAUGAAAAGGGCAAAACAGCAUUUGAGUGUGAUAUCUGUGGUAAAAUAUUAUCUCAGAAAGGUAGCUUAGUUAUUCACCGACGUAUUCAUACAGGAGAGAAGUCAUAUCACUGUGACGUUUGUGGUAAAUCAUUUUUUGAUACUCAUCAUUUAACUAUUCACAAACGCAUUCAUACAGGAGUGAAAUCAUAUCGCUGUGAUAUCUGUGGUAAAUCCUUCUCUCAAAGUUAUAACUUAACUAGGCACAAAUACAUUCAUACAGGAGAAAAACGAUAUCACUGUGAUAUCUGUGGUAAAUCCUUCUCUGAAAUUAGUAAAGUAACUAUUCACAAGCGUGUUCAUACAGGAGAAAAACCAUGUCACUGUGAUAUUUGUGGUAAAUCAUUCUUUGAUAAAAGUUACUUAACUAGACACAUACGUAUUCACACAGGUGAAAAGCCAUAUCAGUGUGAUAUCUGUGGUAAAUCUUUCUCUGAAACUAGUCCCUUAACUAUGCACAAGCGUACUGUUCACACAGGAGAAAAACCACAUCGCUGUGAAAUCUGUGGUAAAUCAUUCUCUCAAAAUAAUGCCUUGACUAUUCACAAACGCAUUCAUACAGGAGAGAAGCCAUAUACAUGUGAUAUCUGUGGUAAAUCGUUCUCCAGAAGCUAUGCCUUACCUCGUCACAGACGCAUUCAUACUGAAGUGAAGCCAUAUCAUUGUGAUAUCUGUGCUGAAUCAUUCUCUGAAAGUGGUAGCUUAACUAAGCACAAGCGUAUUCAUACUGAAGAGAAACCAUAUCAUUGUGAUAUCUGUGGUGAAUCAUUCUCCGAUGGACACAAGUUAACUGUUCACAAAUACAGUCAUUCAGGCGUGAAGCCAUAUCACUGUGAAAUCUGUGGUAAAUCAUUCUCUGACAAUGGUCACUUAACCAAGCACAGGCGUGUUCAUACAGGUGAGAAGCCAUAUCAUUGUGAUAUCUGUGGUAAAUCUUUCUCUGAAACUGGUAGUGUAACUAACCACAAACGUGUUCAUACAGGUGAGAAGCCAUAUCAUUGUGAUACCUGUGGUAAAUCAUUCUCUACAUCCAGUAUCUUAUGUAAGCACAGACGCAUUCAUACUCCUGAGAAGCAAUAUCACUGUGAUAUCUGCGGUAAAUCUUUCACUGAAUCUGGUAGUGUGACAAAUCACAAACGUAUUCAUACAGGUGAGAAGCCAUAUCACUGUGAAAUCUGUGGUAAAUCUUUCACUGAAUCAGGUAGUGUAACUACUCACAUGCGUGUUCAUACAGGAGAGAAGCCAUACCAUUGUGAUAUCUGUGGUAAAUCCUUCUCUACAUGCAGUGUCUUAACCAGGCACAAGCGUGUUCAUACAGGAGAAAAACCAUAUCACUGUGAUAUCUGUGGUAAAUCUUUCUCUGGUAGUAUAACUACUCACCAGCGCAUUCAUUCAGGCGUGAAGCCAUAUCAUUGUGAUAUCUGUGGUAAAUCAUUCUCUCGAAAUUAUCACUUGACUCUGCACAGACGCAUUCAUACAAGAGAAGUCAUAUCACUGUAAUGCCUGUAAGAAUCGUUUUCUGAAAUAGCACGUUAACUGGUCACAAACGUUUACAUACAGAGGAGAAGCCAUAUCAUUGUGACAUGUAUGACAAAUUAUUCUCUUGAAAUGAAUAAUUUAACUAAACCAAAAAACUCUGAUACAAGAGAGAAACCAUAUCACUGUGAUAUUUGUGGUAAAUCAUUUUCUCAAAGUGGUUCUUUGACUAGUCACAAACGUAUUCAUACAGGAGAGAAGCCAUAUCAUUGUGAUAUCUGUGGUACAUCAUUCUCUGUAAGUUGUCAUUUGACUAGGCACAGACGUAUUCAUACAGGAGAGAAGCCAUUCCAUUGUAAGAUCUGUGGUGAAUCAUUUUCUAGAAAUAAUCACUUGACUGUUCACAAACGUGUUCAUACUGGAGAAAAACCAUAUCAGUGUGAUAUCUGUGGUAAAUCAUUUUCUGUAAAUAGCACUUUAACUAGUCACAAGCGUAUUCAUACAGGAGAGAAGCCAUAUCAGUGUAAUAUCUGUGGGAAACCAUUCUCU